This 491-nucleotide ribosomal RNA is filed under the name uncultured bacterium. Its description in RNAcentral is "partial 16S ribosomal RNA". It matches the Rfam family "Bacterial small subunit ribosomal RNA", at positions 29 to 507 of the family's 1533-position model. The record is from RNAcentral.
GUGAACGCUGGCGGUAGGCCUAACACAUGCAAGUCGAACGGCAGCACAGUAAGAGCUUGCUCUUACGGGUGGCGAGUGGCGGACGGGUGAGGAAUACAUCGGAAUCUACUUUUUCGUGGGGGAUAACGUAGGGAAACUUACGCUAAUACCGCAUACGACCUACGGGUGAAAGCAGGGGAUCUUCGGACCUUGCGCGAUUGAAUGAGCCGAUGUCGGAUUAGCUAGUUGGCGGGGUAAAGGCCCACCAAGGCGACGAUCCGCAGCUGGUCUGAGAGGAUGAUCAGCCACACUGGAACUGAGACACGGUCCAGACUCCUACGGGAGGCAGCAGUGGGGAAUAUUGGACAAUGGGCGCAAGCCUGAUCCAGCCAUACCGCGUGGGUGAAGAAGGCCUUCGGGUUGUAAAGCCCUUUUGUUGGGAAAGAAAAGCAGCAGGUUAAUACCCCGCUGUUCUGACGGUACCCAAAGAAUAAGCACCGGCUAACUUCGUG